Molecule: unclassified non-coding RNA, 225 nt
Filed under: Hevea brasiliensis (rubber tree)
Lineage: Eukaryota; Viridiplantae; Streptophyta; Magnoliopsida; Malpighiales; Euphorbiaceae
Source: RNAcentral
GAACAGUGAAAAUGGAAGUCGUUUCUUUUGCUCUGGUUCUGUUCAGUAUCCACUUUAUGGUUUUGGAAUUAGGCGAGACUGUCGGAGUGGUUAUGGUACUUUGGAGGGCUACCUGCGAUUGCCAAGUUAGCUGAACUUAGGGUUUUAUCAUUGCCCUUUAAUGGUUUUCGUGGGGAGAUACCUGGUGAAAUAUGGAGCAUGCAGAAGUUAGAGGUUCUUGAUCUG